RNAcentral lists this long non-coding RNA (656 nucleotides) under Papio anubis (olive baboon). RNAcentral's name for it is "lncRNA (ENSPANG00000048442.1)". The record is from RNAcentral. Lineage: Eukaryota; Metazoa; Chordata; Mammalia; Primates; Cercopithecidae.
CAGUCAUUAAACUUUGAAAAGUUAUGCUAGUGAGAACAGACAAUCACCAGCCAGAGGGUAUUAAUUUGAAAGCAGACAAAAAUGGUUUUAUAUUUCUAUUUUGAAUGUUCCAUAUAAAACAAUUACAAAUAUCUGUUUUAGUGAUCUGUGUCAUAGUUAGCCUGCAGUUAGUACAAGUACAAAAUAACAGUGAUUAAAAUGAAAGCAUUAUACUUACUACUUUUUUUACCUUACACCAUUUUAAAUGAAAUAAUACAGCAAAAGAAUACUUAAAUGAAAACAACAUACAUACUAUUUUUAUGCAAUGUUCAGCCCCCUUAGUUCAAAGGAAGAUAGAAAAGAAUGUUUAUUAUUCCUGUGAGAAGGAGGGGCACAGUCAUUUCUAUGAGUGUUUGACUUCAGGUGUACAUACAUAACAUGUUCUUGGGUGUAUAAAUAAGAUGGAGUCUCGCUCUUUUGCCCAGGCUGGGGUACAACGGCACAAUCUCGGAUCACUGCAACCUUCGUCUUCUGGGUUCAAGAAAUUCUCCUGCCUCAGUCUCCCUAUUAGCUGGGAUUACAGUUCUGAAAAUCAGCUUUCCCAAAUGAGUUUUACUGGAACAAAAUCAAGAUUUCCGCAUGGUCAUGCUCUCUCUGGAGGUUCCAGGGGAGCUUGA